This 200-nucleotide unclassified non-coding RNA is filed under the name soil metagenome. Its description in RNAcentral is "partial contains internal transcribed spacer 2 and large subunit ribosomal RNA". The record is from RNAcentral.
UCAUUGUCACUAAUCAAGCCCGGCUUGCUGUUGGACCUCUUGUCGUUAAAAGACAGGCCCUAAAGAUAAUGACGGUGUUAUUAGAACCCUAGAUGCAAUGAGCUUUAACUAGCACGCAUGAUAGUGGCCUUUUAACCCGGUCUUUUUUAACUAAUUUUAAGGUUGACCUCGGAUCAGGUAGGAAUACCCGCUGAACUUAA